This 406-nucleotide ribosomal RNA is filed under the name uncultured bacterium. RNAcentral's name for it is "partial 16S ribosomal RNA". It matches the Rfam family "Bacterial small subunit ribosomal RNA", at positions 29 to 526 of the family's 1533-position model. The record is from RNAcentral.
AUUGAACGCUGGCGGUAGGCCUAACACAUGCAAGUCGAACGAGUGGCGGACGGGUGAGUAAUGUCUGGGAAACUGCCUGAUGGAGGGGGAUAACUACUGGAAACGGUAGCUAAUACCGCAUACCAUCAGAUGUGCCCAGAUGGGAUUAGCUUGUUGGUGGGGUAACGGCUCACCAAGGCGACGAUCCCUAGCUGGUCUGAGAGGAUGACCAGCCACACUGGAAGGGAGACACGGUCCAGACUCCUACGGGAGGCAGGGGUGGGGAAUAUUGCACAAUGGGCGCAAGCCUGAUGCAGCCAUGCCGCGUGUAGGAAGAGGGCCUGCGGGUUGUAAAGUACUUUCGGCGGGGAGGCUUGACCCGCAGAAGAAGCACCGGCUAGCCCCGGGCCAGCCGCCGCGGUAAUAC